This 1045-nucleotide ribosomal RNA is filed under the name uncultured archaeon. RNAcentral describes it as "bacterial SSU rRNA". It matches the Rfam family "Archaeal small subunit ribosomal RNA", at positions 1 to 1054 of the family's 1478-position model. The record is from RNAcentral.
UUCUGUUUGAUCCUGGCGGAGGUCACUGCUAUCGGGGUUUGACUAAGCCAUGCGAGUCGAGAGGUUCAAGACCUCGGUGGUACUGCUCAGUAACACGUGGACAAUCUGCCCUGAAGUGGAGAAUAAUCCCGGGAAACUGGGGGUAAUACUCCAUAGUUCGUUAUUACUGGAAUGUUUUUCGAACGAAAGAUCCGUCGCUUCAGGAUGAGUCUGCGGCCGAUUAGGUAGUUGUUGGGGUAAUUGCCCAACAAGCCUGUAAUCGGUACGGGUUGUGGGAGCAAGAGCCCGGAGAUGGAUUCUGAGACACGAAUCCAGGCCCUACGGGGCGCAGCAGGCGCGAAAACUUUACCAUGCGGGCAACCGUGAUAAGGAAACCCCGAGUGCCAGCACAGGCUGGCUGUCCGCCAGUUUAAACAACUGGCGAAGAAAGGGCCGGGCAAGACCGGUGCCAGCCGCCGCGGUAAUACCGGCGGCUCGAGUGGUGGCCGCUAUUACUGGGCUUAAAGGGUCCGUAGCUUGAUAAUAGGGUCCCUUGAGAAAUCCGCCGGCUUAACUGGCGGGCGUUCAGGGGAAACUUGUUUUCUAGGGACCGGGAGAGGUGAGGGGUACUGCCGGGGUAGGAGUGAAAUCCUGUAAUCCCGGUGGGACCACCUAUGGCGAAGGCAUCUCACCAGAACGGGUCCGACAGUGAGGGACGAAAGCUGGGGGAGCAAACCGGAUUAGAUACCCGGGUAGUCCCAGCUGUAAACUAUGUGCGUUAGGUGUGUCAGUGACCACGUGUCACUGAGGUGCCGAAGGGAAACCGUGAAACGCACCGCCUGGGGAGUACGGUCGCAAGGCUGAAACUUAAAGGAAUUGGCGGGGGAGCACCACAACGGGUGGAGCCUGCGGUUUAAUCGGACUCAACGCCGGGAAUCUCACCGGAUAAGACAGCUGAAUGAUAGUCGGGAUGAAGACUCUACUUGACUAGCUGAGAGGAGGUGCAUGGCCGUCGUCAGUUCGUACUGUGAAGCAUCCUGUUUAGUCAGGCAACGAGCGAGACCCA